GAUGAACGCUGGCGGCGUGCCUAAUACAUGCAAGUCGAGCGAACAGACGAGGAGCUUGCUCCUCUGACGUUAGCGGCGGACGGGUGAGUAACACGUGGAUAACCUACCUAUAAGACUGGGAUAACUUCGGGAAACCGGAGCUAAUACCGGAUAAUAUAUUGAACCGCAUGGUUCAAUAGUGAAAGACGGUUUUGCUGUCACUUAUAGAUGGAUCCGCGCCGCAUUAGAUAGUUGGUAAGGUAACGGCUUACCAAGGCAACGAUGCGUAGCCGACCUGAGAGAGGGAUCGGCGACACUGGAACUGAGACACGGACCAGACUCCUACGGGAGGCAGCAGUAGGGAAUCUUCGGCAAUGGGCGAAAGCCUGACGCAUCGACGCCGCGUGAGUGAUGAAGGUCUUCGGAUCGUAAAACUCGGUUAUUAGGGAAGAACAAAUGUGUAAGUAACUAUGCACGUCUUGACGGUACCUAGUCAGAAAGCCACGGCUAACUACGUG
RNAcentral lists this ribosomal RNA (497 nucleotides) under uncultured bacterium. RNAcentral's name for it is "partial 16S ribosomal RNA". It matches the Rfam family "Bacterial small subunit ribosomal RNA", at positions 28 to 507 of the family's 1533-position model. The record is from RNAcentral.